Molecule: transfer RNA, 76 nt
Filed under: Bacillota bacterium
Lineage: Bacteria; Bacillati; Bacillota
Description: Firmicutes bacterium (anaerobic digester metagenome) tRNA-Lys
Rfam family: tRNA
About the family: Transfer RNA (tRNA) molecules are approximately 80 nucleotides in length. Their secondary structure includes four short double-helical elements and three loops (D, anti-codon, and T loops).
Source: RNAcentral
GGGCCAUUAGCUCAACUGGCAGAGCAGGCGACUCUUAAUCGCAAGGUUAAAGGUUCGAUUCCUUUAUGGCCCACCA